This 231-nucleotide ribosomal RNA is filed under the name uncultured bacterium. RNAcentral's name for it is "partial 16S ribosomal RNA". It matches the Rfam family "Bacterial small subunit ribosomal RNA", at positions 15 to 235 of the family's 1533-position model. The record is from RNAcentral.
GAUCAUGGCUCACGAUGAACGCUAGCGACAGGCCUAACACAUGCAAGUCGAGGGGCAGCGAAGAGGUAGCAAUGCCUCUGUCGGCGACCGGCGCACGGGUGAGUAACACGUAUGCAAUCCACCUGUAACAGGGGGAUAACCCGGAGAAAUCCGGACUAAUACCCCAUAAUAUGGGCGCUCCGCAUGGAGAGUCCAUUAAAGAGAGCAAUUUUGGUUACAGACGAGCAUGCG